AUGGUUUCAUUAGAAUAUAUCACUGUGGAGGACUUUUGGUGGAGGCUCCAAACUCGUUCCGGUCCCACGGUGAAGCCCUCCGUGUCUCUGCUCCCUCCGUCUCCUCUGCAGCUGUCUGAGGGAUCGGCCUCGCUGCUCUGCCUGCUGUCUGGCUACUCUCCACAGGGGGCGCUGGUGAGCUGGACAGUGGAUGGCUCAGAGGUGAAGGACGGGGUUCUGACCAGCUCAGAAGAACAGAAGAAGGACGGGUACACACGCAGCAGCACCCUGACCCUCAGCAAAGACCUCUGGGAAAAGGGGGAGGAGUUUGUCUGUACAGUCUCCCAUGACUGCGGCUAUCAUCCGGUCACGUUCAGAAAGAGUCAGUGUGAAGUCUAA
Non-coding RNA from Ictalurus punctatus (channel catfish), 378 nucleotides. NCBI's taxonomy places the organism in Eukaryota, Metazoa, Chordata, Actinopteri, Siluriformes, Ictaluridae. The record is from the annotation of a RefSeq genome assembly.